RNAcentral lists this ribosomal RNA (497 nucleotides) under uncultured bacterium. RNAcentral describes it as "partial 16S ribosomal RNA". It matches the Rfam family "Bacterial small subunit ribosomal RNA", at positions 28 to 507 of the family's 1533-position model. The record is from RNAcentral.
GAUGAACGCUGGCGGCGUGCCUAAUACAUGCAAGUCGAGCGAACAGACGAGGAGCUUGCUCCUCUGACGUUAGCGGCGGACGGGUGAGUAACACGUGGAUAACCUACCUAUAAGACUGGGAUAACUUCGGGAAACCGGAGCUAAUACCGGAUAAUAUAUUGAACCGCAUGGUUCAAUAGUGAAAGACGGUUUUGCUGUCACUUAUAGAUGGAUCCGCGCCGCAUUAGCUAGUUGGUAAGGUAACGGCUUACCAAGGCGACGAUGCGUAGCCGACCUGAGAGGGUGAUCGGCCACACUGGAGCUGAAACACGGUCCAGACGCCUACGGGAGGCAGCAGUAGGGAAUCUUCCGCAAUGGGCGAAAGCCUGACGGAGCAACGCCGCGUGAGUGAUGAAGGUCUUCGGAUCGUAAAACUCUGUUAUUAGGGAAGAACAAAUGUGUAAGUAACUAUGCACGUCUUGACGGUACCUAAUCAGAAAGCCACGGCUAACUACGUG